CCUACGGGUGGCAGCAGUGAGGAAUAUUGGUCAAUGGCCGGGAGGCUGAACCAGCCAAGUCGCGUGAGGGAAGAAGGCCCUACGGGUUGUAAACCUCUUUUGUCAGGGAGCAAGGUGCAGGUCGGGACCUGCUGUGAGAGUACCUGAAGAAAAAGCAUCGGCUAACUCCGUGCCAGCAGCCGCGGUAAUACGGAGGAUGCGAGCGUUAUCCGGAUUUAUUGGGUUUAAAGGGUGCGUAGGUUGUUUUUUAAGUCAGCGGUGAAAGUUUGUGGCUCAACCAUAAAAUUGCCGUUGAAACUGGAAGACUUGAGUGUGUUUGAGGUAGGCGGAAUGCGUGGUGUAGCGGUGAAAUGCAUAGAUAUCACGCAGAACUCCGAUUGCGAAGGCAGCUUACUAAGCCAUAACUGACACUGAAGCACGAAAGCGUGGGGAUCAAACAGGAUUAGAUACCCGAGUAGUC
This 460-nucleotide ribosomal RNA is filed under the name uncultured bacterium. RNAcentral describes it as "partial 16S ribosomal RNA". It matches the Rfam family "Bacterial small subunit ribosomal RNA", at positions 338 to 795 of the family's 1533-position model. The record is from RNAcentral.